RNAcentral lists this non-coding RNA (26 nucleotides) under Homo sapiens (human). The record is from RNAcentral. Lineage: Eukaryota; Metazoa; Chordata; Mammalia; Primates; Hominidae.
UCUGACACGGAUCGUCAGUGCACGUC